Long non-coding RNA from Esox lucius (northern pike), 1356 nucleotides. RefSeq lists it as uncharacterized. Lineage: Eukaryota; Metazoa; Chordata; Actinopteri; Esociformes; Esocidae. The transcript is spliced from 5 exons. The record is from RefSeq and is a predicted model, not a curated record.
GUGGCAUUUUUAGUGGCAUGUUGAGAUGCCACGGCAUCUUCACCGUUAGCAGUGGCAUUUGUAGUGGCAUGUUGAGAUGCCACGGCAUUUUUAGUGGCAUGUUGAGUUAACAGCGGCAUUUUUAGUGGCAUGUUGAGUUAACAGUGGCAUUUUUAGUGGCAUGUUGAGAUGCCACGGCAUCUUCACCGUUAGCAGUGGCAUUUGUAGUGGCAUGUUGAGUUAGCAGUGGCAUUUUAGUGGCAUGUUGCGUUAGCAGUGGCAUUUAUAGUGGCAUGUUGCGUUUGCAGUGGGAUUUUUAGUGGCAUGUUGAGUUAGCAGUGGCAUUUUUAGUGGCAGGUUGAGAUGCCGGUGGCAGGUUGAGACGCCAAGAUUUUUCCUGAGAUGCCACGGCAUCUUUCGCCGUUUAUAUGGUAUUUCUGGUUGCGGCCUGAGAUGCCACAAAUUUACUAGACCGAUUAUGGGGUAGAACGGUGGCAAACAAGGGCUGCGUCCGAAAUCACCCACUGCUCAACAUAUACAACCAAACCAGUAGCCUGUCGUAAUGUAGAGGAAAAGAGCAUAUCCGACUACAACUGCUGGUGUUUGUAGCAUUUGCUAGAUCUGGAGAAAAACCUGCUAAGUGGGCAUGUUCUGUCUAACAAAAUGUAUCUGUGGAAACACAAAGGAUUUGAUCCACUCCUCAGAAAACAUUACAGCAAACAUGUGACUUUAUUCAAUGACAUGAAGAAUAUGUGCUUCUAACCACCACACCUUCAAAGAAAAAGAAAGGAGCUGCAAGAAAUGAAACAGAGACCACCGCUGAUGAAACAGAGACCACCGAAGAGGAAAACCUUCUGAUCCUACAUAGCCUGGCUGCAGCUGACUGGUGCAAUCAGGCAACAUUCAGUGGAAGACUGAAACUCCCUGCUGUCCUUUCAAUGGACAGAGAAGAAAGAAAAGAGGCCAUCCAGGAGAUGGACACCUGGGAUGGGGAACUGGAUCAGGAUUCUCCAGCAGAACUCUUCACAUUUGUUUUUGAAAAAAAAAAAAAAGACAACUUCUAUGAACAAUGUGUGGAUAAAAAAUGUUUUAGACUGUUUACAAGAUUUGAAAAACAGUGAUUGUUUAAAUAUUUUUUGUGUGUUAAAUUAAAGAGUUUGUUCCUAAAUACAGCCUAGUAAUUCAUACCAAGACCUUUGCACAUGGUUUUACAUUAGAGUCCUGUGAUGCACAGAUAAAUAUAAAUAUCACCUAGUAUAGUAAGCUAUAAAUGUUGAGGGUGUUUAGUGAAUAAUUUUGGAUAGGUCAACUGUUAUAAAAUCUUGUUUAAUUUACAAUCAGAAAGGGACAGCUGCCACAGGGGGCCAGUGGCAAUUG